AAAAAAAUGGGACUAAACAGGGCAGCACCGGCGGCCCUCUUCAUCCUCCCUCCAUGCAGCGCGGCGUUCUCCAUGGCAGCGGCGUGGGUGUCCACGGCGGCUGCGCCCCUCCCCACGCGGUUUCGGUGGUGGUGGUUCCUCCCCACGUAGAUCCGGCGGCGGUGCCCCUCCUCUUCCACGACUUCCUCCCCACAUGGAUCCUGUGGCGGCGCACCUCUCCACGCGGUUUCGUCGGCGGUGGUGCCCCUCCUCCCCUUCCUCGGCUUCCUCACCGCACGGAUCCGGCGGCGGCGCCCCUCCUCACCUUCCUUCCCACGUGGCGACGCACAAUGUAUGCCCACUUGCUAUACUCUGUACCAGGCAUCUAUACAUCAGUGGACUGGGCCACUUCUGUAGACACUGUGUUUUAAAUAGCGGGCUAAGACGUUUAGAGGUUCAUGUCUAAAACAGCUAAUAGCGGAGCUAAAUCGGGCUAUAGCGGAAUAUAGCGGCUAAAUUGUACAUGAACACAAAUAGCGACACUCUACCUCAAAAGGCUAUAGCGGGCUAUAGCGGCAGCUAUAGCGGGAUAUUUAAAACUAUGGAGGUGUCAGAGAAAUCACAUCAAUGCCAACAAAACGAAUGCUAAUGAUCAAGGUAUAAAUAUAAAUGAGCAUGUAAUCACCAAUUGAAUUACACAUACAAGUAGUAGGCAACAAUCAGUCCAUUGUAUGUUGCUGCGGUGGUGCACAGAAAUAAGUUAAUUCAUUACAAUAAGGUUUAGAAUGGUUCAGAAACACUGGCAAACACGGAAGAUUGACAUAUGCCAUAUUUCAAGACCAAUGUAAUGCCAUAUUUUAAACUCCGAUCCAAGCAACUGAAUUCACAUGAGAAUGUGGGUGACAUAUGCUAGCUAAUCAUUUCAUCAAAGAGCUCAGGGGCACCAAAGGAAAUAGGGAAGACUAUUAACAAUCAGCAGGCUUUGGUUGUUUCAUCAUCAGUGCUUCCAACUAAUUUGGCCCAUCUACUGCGUAAGGUGGGAUGAUUCUAAGAGAGGAAACAUUGGAGGGAAAGUCCUUCAUGAGCCAACCCUCUUACAACAAUGCAAGGCAUGGACCUAGGAAGGACAGACAAAAAUAUCAGUUGGAAACCAGAUUCCUUGAAAUCAAGAAAGCCAGGAGCAAGCAGAAAUGAAGAAAUCAUGAAACUUGUGACGCCUAUAUAGCCGUCGUUUCAAACUUUAUUAAGACAUGCCUAUAAUCCAAACUUUGUUCCAUGCCUAACCUGAAGGUUUUGAACAAAACAUAAGGGAGAGAAAGAAACCACACUGGAUAAACCAUGACACUAUCAUAUCUCGAACAGUUAAAGACAUACAUAAUUCCUCGUCGGCCUCAAGUCAUCACGUACUGUGAAUACUCGGAUUUAGAAUUAUAUAGCUUGAGCGCUCGACAACCUCAGUGAAAAUUUGUACAUGUUGUGGUCUGUGAAAUCCAAGGAUUGAUUUAGCUACAGACAGGGAGAAGAAACCUUAAGUGCCAAACAUACACCAACACCACAAGUUACUGGAUAUCCUGGAUAGCAGAUAUCGAUUGACACUUACUCUUGUUACUGUGAGAUGCAAGCACACAAAUCCAAGUCGUCUUAAACUCGAAUCCUCAGGAAUUGAGUUGGAGUUGGGGAACGGGAAAGUAUAGGGUUACUAGGCUGUCGAAGGAGAAGCACCAUAACAGAGGGAAGCAAGCGGAGAGCGGGCAAGAUAUGCCGCCGUCUGUUGGAGAAGGGUUGUAUGGGGCGCCGCCGCAUGGAGGAAGCCCAACAUGCAAGGGAUGGGAGGUGUAUCUGGAUCUGUGCUGCUAGCUAGCGG
Molecule: long non-coding RNA, 1843 nt
Filed under: Sorghum bicolor (sorghum)
Lineage: Eukaryota; Viridiplantae; Streptophyta; Magnoliopsida; Poales; Poaceae
Description: long non-coding RNA (SBIC_LNC016814)
Source: RNAcentral